Long non-coding RNA from Leopardus geoffroyi (Geoffroy's cat), 919 nucleotides. RefSeq lists it as uncharacterized. The transcript is spliced from 2 exons. Lineage: Eukaryota; Metazoa; Chordata; Mammalia; Carnivora; Felidae. The record is from RefSeq and is a predicted model, not a curated record.
UAGGAGAUUGUCAGUAAAUAUUGCCAGAAUGAGUGAACGAAUGAAUGGCAUUUGAAUGUAUGUAAAGAUGAAAUCAUCUCUAACACAGUGAGAAUAAUAUUUUCCUUUUGGGGGUUUAUGAUAUCCUAGGCAAUUUAGAAACAUAAUUUCGUUUAAUUCUUACGAAUAUCCCAUGAGGUAGGUACUAUCAUCCUCAAUUUACAGAGGAGGGCUUGGCAAAGUCAGGAAACUUACUGGAGAUCACACGGUAAAAGGAAGAGCUGAGAUCUAAACCCAGGGCUGUCUGCCUCCACAGCCCACUCUGUCACCACCGAGGUGAUUGCUCUCCUGGCGCCCAGGAUCUCCUCUGUGAUGGGAGAAUACCACCUUGGAUUCACAUGUCACCUGAGAUUAAGGACCAUGGCUGCGGAGCAUCUGUUGUUUGCAGCCCAGCAUUUAUAGCCCCUCCUCUGAGCGACAGUUUAUCAGAUUUCCUGGGGGAAACCUCCCUCCCUGUUUCAGCCAGGUGAUUUGUGUGGGACUGACCAGUGCCCAGUUUCAGCUGUGGAGCCUAAACUAACCGGCACCCUCUGCCUCCAUUCUCCCAGUCACAGUGAUUGGCUCAGGGCUGACAUGUGACUUAGGCCAACUCAACCAGACUGAACCUUGGGGCUCUGGCUGGAAAUGAUGCAUCCUGGCCUUUCUCCCCUAGUGGACCUGUAGCCUCCUGGGAUACUGGAAGCCACCCAGGACCGGUGGGGUGAGGUUUAUGGUGGGAGAGCCUGACCAGCAAUGGAGCCAUUGAAGAAGAAAUGGGGAGAAAGUAACAGUCUCCUGGUCCCAAUUAUUUGAGCCCCUAGAUCAGCAUUGCCUGAAACCAGAGCUACCUGGAGACCUGUCAGUUAUGUGGACAAUAAAAAUCCACUUUAUAUUGAAGCCA